UUGACUUAAGGGGCACAGACCUUGGCAGUA
This 30-nucleotide non-coding RNA is filed under the name Rattus norvegicus (Norway rat). Lineage: Eukaryota; Metazoa; Chordata; Mammalia; Rodentia; Muridae. The record is from RNAcentral.